Equus caballus (horse) is the source of this 2258-nucleotide long non-coding RNA. Lineage: Eukaryota; Metazoa; Chordata; Mammalia; Perissodactyla; Equidae. The record is from Ensembl.
GGAAACUGAGGCCUGGGGGGAGCAGUGGGAGGUGUCAAGGCCCCUCAGCUGGCAGUUAUGUGUCACAGCUGUGACCCGGUCACGGUCCCCCUGACUCCUCUGUUGUGCCCGCUUCGUGGGACGGUCGUUACUAGAUGCUGAGGAUGUCACAGUAAAUAUGACAAAGGUGGACCUCCCCGUGGACAGGAGAGUCGGGGGCAGCAAAGACUGUCAGCCAGGAUGAGGUUCAUCUCCAGUGCCGGCAACCCGACCACAGACGCUCGGACACACUCGGGGCCCGUCCCCUCCACUGUGCUACCUGGCCCACCCACUGCAGCUCAGGCCAUGGGGAAGAGCGAUGGAGCCCGCAGAUGUUACGUCAAGUCAUCCUCCCGGCAACCGUGCGAGGGCCUCCAGGGGGGUGGGGGUUGUGUUUUGAGCAUAGGGAAUGGCUGGCGACAGCAGGAGCCACAACGCCAGACUGGAUUCCAGGAUCCCAUCGUCUAGGGUUCCUCCUCGAGUCCAGCAGGAGUCCUGUUUUCUGCAGUUGAAGAGAAUGGCCUGAGUUUUCCCUUGAAUACAAGGACAGCUAUUUAUUGACAUAUAAGCUUUCAUGGAUUUAGAACCCUCAAGUCGUUCUUCCUUAAGGAUAUAAAAAGUUUGAAAAUAUUUCCUCACAGAGCCCAUCUUCCAACUGAGUUCUGGGUUUCUUUAGCUCUUCCUCUCUUUUCUUCAGUGUAAAAUACUGUUUAUUGUGUUUGGGAUGGGAAACGAGAACUCCCUGAAAACCCCUUUGGGUGGGGUGUUUGAACAGAAGCUGGUAUGUGUGCGCAAUGAGAUGUCGUAUCUCUCAGGGAAAGAAUUUAGAUGGGUUUCUGUUGACCGGGGUGGUUGACCUACCAUAUACUCCGAAGUGGAAAACCUAGUUGUAAACAAGAUUAUAUGGUAUUACCCAGCUUUUAAAAACAACGCCAAACUCAAACUUACACAUGUUUGCGAGUUAGUGUGAACGUAGAGGAAGAUGUGACAGCACAGGGUCCAGUGCCACCUUCGUCCCCUAGCAGGCCCGGGGGGUGGGGGUGCGGGUGGAGGAGUUAGGGGGAGUAUUCCUUUUCUAUAUGUUAUUUGAUUUGUUACAGUAAUAAAAUGUCAGCUUUAAAUUAAUGAAUCUAACGGAGUGCUUUAAGCUUCAAGGGCAAGGGUCCUUCUAACCCCCCGGUUUCGGGGGGCACAUCUUCAGCUGAUAAGCACGGUCAAGCCUGAAUCCCUUUAGCAUGGAGGCUGCUGCUGCUCUGGACGUUCUCUGCCCGAGCCCUGCAUCAGUUAUUUCUCCAAGGAAUGUGGGCUCCUUUCCAUGGAGAAUAACGUUCAAAAGCCAAACUCCAGAUGAUGGGUGCGCUCAUUGCUUUUGGGGUGUUGAGUGAUCCCAGGUUCUUUCAGUGGGCAGGACUAGAGAAGGUAUGCCAGUCUGUCUGUCUAUCUAUCUAUCUCUCUAUCUCUCUAUCUAUCUAUCUGUGAUCUUUCUAUCUAUCUUUCUAUCUAUCCAUCCAUCUAUCCAUCAUCUGUCUGUCUAUCUAUCUAUCUACCUACCUAUCUAUCUAUCAUCUAUCUCCGAACCCCAAGUUCACAUGGAUACUUUUAAUUCCAAUUCCCACUCCAUUGGGCUCACUCUAGGGUUCCUCUCACCAAAUGUUUAAGUCACUUCUUUGACAACGGGAAACCUGCCUCCCAUUGUCCUUAUAUGUUUACUUAUUAGCUCAGUGUCGGAUGUGUACCCAGUCUCCCCUCACUGACAUUGCCUUCUCCCCUAGGCAGAUUCCCUCCUCCCCUACCCUGUGCUGGGCCUGGUGUCCUCACCUGGCAGAUCUUCUGACCCUGCAGGACACCCGCCCAGGCUGUACCCACAUGGAUGCUCUCCUCACCUCGGGCUUCAAGCCACUGAGCUGGGCUGCCCCCCACCCCUCCCUCCAUGUGGAUGGCUUCCUGACCUCACAAGGGCUCUGAGACCACAUUCCACCCCAUCACAUGGACAACCCCUUAUUCUGCUCUGGUUCCAACAGCUGUAUCAGGCCACUGCCUCACCAGGAUGCCUUCCUCACCCCUCUUAGGCUCUGAUACCCAUGCCAGAUGCCCCCCCCCAAAACUUCAAGGACACCGUUUUCUCCCUGAUUGAACUCUGACAUUCUUUUCGGGGCCAGCAGCACCUCCCCGACCCUGUCAUGGACACCUGUGGGCUUUGAACUGACUUGGUCAGGAAGGGAGAGGAAAAGGAAGAGGAG